AUUUUUCUAAUAUAUAAAGUAUAGUUGGCUUCCAACCAACAAGUUUGAGGGUCUCAAGGAAAAUA
RNAcentral lists this transfer RNA (65 nucleotides) under Pandalus borealis (northern shrimp). Its description in RNAcentral is "tRNA-Gly". Lineage: Eukaryota; Metazoa; Arthropoda; Malacostraca; Decapoda; Pandalidae. The record is from RNAcentral.